This 707-nucleotide small RNA is filed under the name Pan troglodytes (chimpanzee). Its description in RNAcentral is "processed transcript". Lineage: Eukaryota; Metazoa; Chordata; Mammalia; Primates; Hominidae. The record is from RNAcentral.
ACACCCGGAAGAAGGGGCCCGAGCGGAGCCGGCCGCGAUGAGCGGGGAGCCGGGGCAGACGUCUGUAGCGCCCCCUCCCGAGGAGGUCGAGCCGGGCAGUGGGGUCCGCAUCGUGGUGGAGUACUGGUGAGCGGCCCCGGCUGGAGGACCCCCACCCUGGUCCCGCGGGCCGGACGGAGGUGCCUUUGAGAUAGAGAUAAAUGGACAGCUGGUGUUCUCCAAGCUGGAGAAUGGGGGCUUUCCCUAUGAGAAAGAUCUCAUUGAGGCCAUCCGAAGAGCCAGUAAUGGAGAACCCCUAGAAAAGAUCACCAACAGCCGUCCUCCCUGCGUCAUCCUUUGACUGCACAGGACUCUGGGUUCCUGCUCUGUUCUGGGGUCCAAACCUUGGUCUCCCUUUGGUCCUGCUGGGAGCUCCCCCUGCCUCUUUCCCCUACUUAGCUCCUUAGCAAAGAGACCCUGGCCUCCACUUUGCCCCUUUGGGUACAAAGAAGGAAUAGAAGAUUCCGUGGCCUUGGGGGCAGGAGAGAGACACUCUCCAUGGACACUUCUCCAGCCACCUCAUACCCCCUUCCCAGGGUAAGUGCCCACGAAAGCCCAGUCCACUCUUCACCUCGGUAAUACCUGUCUGAUGCCACAGAUUUUAUUUAUUCUCCCCUAACCCAGGGCAAUGUCAGCUAUUGGCAGUAAAGUGACGCUACAAACACUAA